Molecule: long non-coding RNA, 932 nt
Filed under: Mytilus galloprovincialis (Mediterranean mussel)
Lineage: Eukaryota; Metazoa; Mollusca; Bivalvia; Mytilida; Mytilidae
Source: RNAcentral
GAUAAUGUAUGAGCAUAGAGUCUAGGCUCAAACCAAACAGCAAUCUAUAAAGAGCCCCAAUAAUGUAUGAGCACAGAGUCUAGGCUCAAACCAAACAACAAUCUAUAAAGGGCCCCAAUAAUGUAUGAGCACAGAGUCUAGGCUCAAACCAAACAACAAUCUAUAAAGGGCCCCGAUAAUGUAUGAGCACAGAGUCUAGGCUAAACCAAACAACAAUCUAUAAAGGGCCCCAAUAAUGUAUGAGCACAGAGUCUAGGCUCAAACUAAACAGCAAUCUAUAAAAGGCCCCAAUAAUGUAUGAGCACAGAGUCUAGGCUCAUACCAAACAGUAAUCUAUAAAGGGCCCCAAUAAUGUAUGAGCACAGAGUCUAGGCUCAUACCAAACAGUAAUCUAUAAAGGGCCCCAAUAAUGUAUGAGCACAGAGUCUAGGCUCACACCAAACAGCAAUCUAUAAAGGGCCCCAAACAUGACUUGUGUAAAACCAUUAAAAAACAGAAAGAUCAACGGUCUAAUUUAGGGCUAUUCCAGAAAAAAAUGUAUGGGGGGGUUGGAAGGCAGUUUUUGUCAGCACCCGCCACCCAGACAAUUGUAAUUGAGAAUUAUAGUGCAUUAUAGUGUGAAAAGUUGCUCUGAUACCCAUCACCAAUGUAUUUUUAAUACAAUGUGUCUUCCCCCCCCCUCCCCCCCCCCAUACAUUUUUUUCUUGAAUAGCCCUUAUAUAAAAAAGGAGAAACACUUACCAGUAUGAACCACAUUAACAAUUGACAACCACAGAACAUCUAUUAAUAAAAAUGAGACCUGGUUCAAACUUUAUCAUCCAUAUUUCCGGAAACUCGAGGGCUUAAAGCCUCCAUGUUAAACUUAUGGUUAAUAUUUCAGGAAACGCGAGGGCAUAUAGCCUCCAUGUUAAUCUUUUUGAUCAAUAUUUCAG